UGAUCAUUCAUUUUAUAUCCUCCAAUUAUAAGAUGGUUUUAUCUUCAUUUUAAUUCUAUUAUCUUUAUUAAGACAUUUUAGAUAACAUAGAUUUCAAAUGAGAAAUACUCAAUCAAUCAAAAGAGGACAAAAUGUUAAGGCUCUCAUCAAUCAUCGCCCAAAACAGAACCUAACUCAUUCCCUGGGAUAGAAUACUAUCAUACUCGUCGCCAAGCAAGUAGCGCCGCCGCCUGCCACAUCGAAUCGAAGAGCUGCGACGAUUCCUCGAUCGCGUCCAUAGAUGCCAAUAGAUCUCCUCCCCAAGGGAAAAUUCAUAACCAAAAUUCUAGCAGAAAAGACACUACAGAUGCGGCGCGAUUAAGACGUAACUUUUGAUUUGAAUUACUCAAGUUAUCUAUCAAGUACCUAUUUUCAGAGGCCUGCUGAAUGGAUCCAGGAAGGUUGCAACCAUUAUCGCUAGGGGCCCGUUGAAUGGGUCAAGGAUGAAAAGGUCCUUGGUAUGCCACCGCGCGAAAGAAUGUUAUGUAUAUUACGAUCGUAAUUGACGUUGGAGGCGCGUGGAGAGUCGAAUGGGCGCGUCGAACCUUUUGAAAAUAAAUGUUUCUUUCAAACCUAUUAUAUUAUUAAUGUGAUAUCUUUUGACUAGUGUAAACUUUAAAUUUUUAAACUAUUUCAAAUUCGUGUGCGACUUAGUUAAGAUAAAUUUCAUUAUAUUAUCUUAAUGUCAUGACUUGUUUAUUUUAAA
Salvia miltiorrhiza (redroot sage) is the source of this 745-nucleotide long non-coding RNA. RefSeq lists it as uncharacterized. The record is from RefSeq and is a predicted model, not a curated record. NCBI's taxonomy places the organism in Eukaryota, Viridiplantae, Streptophyta, Magnoliopsida, Lamiales, Lamiaceae. The transcript has 4 exons.